UCUUUGACCUCAAAUCAGGUAGGAAUACCCGCUGAACUUAAGCAUAUCAAUAAGCGGAGGAAAAGAAACCAACAGGGAUUGCCUUAGUAACGGCGAGUGAAGCGGCAAAAGCUCAAAUUUGAAAUCUGGGGUCUUCGACCUCCGAGUUGUAAUUUGAAGAAAGUAUCUUUGGAUAUAGCCUUUUUCUAAGUUCCUUGGAACAGGACUUCAUAGAGGGUGAGAAUCCCGUAUGGAGAAGUGUCUAUAUCUAUGUAAAGUGCUUUCGACGAGUCGAGUUGUUUGGGAAUGCAGCUCUAAGUGGGUGGUAAAUUCCAUCUAAAGCUAAAUAUUGGCGAGAGACCGAUAGCGAACAAGUACAGUGAUGGAAAGAUGAAAAGAACUUUGAAAAGAGAGUGAAAAAGUACCGUGAAAUUGUUAAAAGGGAAGGGCUUCAGAUCAGACUUGAUGUUUAGUGAUCCAUCUUCCUUUUUGGUUGGUGCACGCGCUUUUCAUUGGGCCAACAUCGAUUUGGAUGGUAGGAUAAUGUCGUUGGAAUGUAGCUUCACUCGUGAAGUGUUAUAGACUUCGAUGAUACUGCCCAUCUGGAUCGAGGACUGCGUCUUUAUGACUAGGAUGUUGGCGUAAUGAUCU
RNAcentral lists this ribosomal RNA (630 nucleotides) under Sporopachydermia sp. 91-456.2. RNAcentral describes it as "LSU rRNA". It matches the Rfam family "Eukaryotic large subunit ribosomal RNA", at positions 1 to 640 of the family's 3401-position model. Lineage: Eukaryota; Fungi; Ascomycota; Sporopachydermiomycetes; Sporopachydermiales; Sporopachydermiaceae. The record is from RNAcentral.